Molecule: long non-coding RNA, 3246 nt
Organism: Oncorhynchus kisutch (coho salmon)
Lineage: Eukaryota; Metazoa; Chordata; Actinopteri; Salmoniformes; Salmonidae
Exons: 4
Source: RefSeq, a predicted model, not a curated record
AGGAGCCUAAAAACAGAAAAUGCACACAUAUCAUUCGACAGCUGAUUCAAGCAAACAUUUUAUUUGAUCUGUUCCAUGAAGAUUAAUUUAAGACUAAGACUUUUUCCAUUUGCCUGGCUACCCAGUUUCUCCUCUGCAAUGAUUCUGGAUUGGAGUACAUCCCUGACUCUUCACCGAAUGCGAACACAUUCGGGCUGUCUGACUGGACCAGGAACCGAUGGGUUGGGCCAGAGCCGGAACACACGUGGGCUAGGCCCACCUGCUGCUGAAACGUCUGACUGACUCCUUGAGCAACUGCCCACUCAUCUUGCACACAUGCAGGUGAUGCGAGCAAACAAACGAGCUGAAGUGUCAUUCCGAUCCUGGUGGAUAUGUAGAUUUUUUUUAUUUGACUGACAAAAUCUUUAAAUUGUGCCUAAAUAUAUUAAAAUUAAUUUCCAUUACCUUUCCAAAACUUUUAGGAUGUUAUAAUUUUCCAAACCUUUUUCAGGCCUGGAAAACACAAUUUCAAGAUGUCAUUACUUUUCUAGGAUUUUCAUGACCGUAGGAACCCUGGUUAAUGCACAUUACGGUUGAACAAAAAUUUGUUUUAGAACCCCAAAAAAUCUGCAGGAACGAUGUUCAGCCUAAUCACCGAAAUUAUAGACAUAAUCAAAAUUGCUUCGGUAAGAGGGCAAUGUCGGUGUCUAAUUCUCAGUUAAUUGUCCCAGCUCUAGUUACUGUUGUCUUAAAUUGUGAAGACCACUUUUCUCUCUCUGCAACAGCUCGACUUGCACAUGCACAUGCAGAUAGAUAAGCUCUGUAACAUCUUGAAAGUGUGCCUCAAGAAUGAUUAUUUGUAAAAAAAAAAAUAUAUAUAUAUAAAUAAAUAUAACCGUGGUGGCAACAAUUAAGCAGCUGCACAAUAUAACAGAAACUGUGUGCUUAUCGGCAUUGUAUUUUUUAAGACCUUUGAAAACUGAAUUGAAGACAUUGUAAGACUUAAUUAAAUUAAUCUGAUUUAAAGGCCUUAAGACAAAUACUUUAAGGACCCGCAGACACCCUGUUUAAGAUGUUACAACUGCGGUCUUAUACUGAAAGAUUAAUCACGCAUGAAAAAUACAACCCCUCUAAACUCUCUAGGAAAACUCAGACAUUACAAAUCACAUUGCUAAAUGUAGUUUGACAGCUACCCCCACUAUCAGCCAGUCAUAUCUAGGAUGUGUUCCUAGACACCAAAUGGAAGAAAAAAGGCCUGAAACUGACUGCCUGAACUUGUUCAAUGAGACACUGUGCUGUAAAUUAAUGCAACCCAGGGGUGCAAGGAACUUACCAUCCACAGAAUGGAACCGCUAGGCUGUUCUACCUGCUCGGAGCCACUCCAUCGAGACUUCACUGUGGCCAGCCCAAAGUCCCCGAUCUUCACAGUCCAGCCCUCAUGGAGGAAGAUGUCUGAGACAACAGAGCUCAGGAACAUGGCAGCAGGUAGGAGUGACUGUCUCACCUCUAUGAUGCUGACUCCGGCAGGGCCCACAGUGCUGACCAUGUGGACGUUGGGGGUGGAGGUGGACCGAUGCCUCUGUAGGGAUGGUCCAUCUCCAACUGGCUGGGGAAACAGGAAGGCAGAGGUCGGGGACAGAAGUCCAUGCCUACAAGACAAAGGGGCACAACAGAACAGACACGGAUGGUGCCGCCACCUCGGGGCACAUCCUCUGGACUGGUCUCACCAGAGGAGGAGCAAGAGGAGGAGUUGGAGGACAUGAUGAAAGGCAGGAGGAGCAGGGGAGGCAGCACUGAGAUGCUUCAACCGCAGGCGAACUUCAUGCACUGGGGAUCCGGGGGAGUGAGCCCUUACCUGGAACAGACAGUGCUACGAAUUAGCUACGAUCCACCUGAAUUCAAUCAAACGAGUGAGACAAAUGUGCCCACAAUUAUGAACAUAGAUUGACUAAGUAUGUUGCAACCUGCAAGGAUUAUACAACAUUGUGUAAACUAGGUAAAGAACUGCUAAAUAAAACAGAAGAGGCCUCAUUUUUACAACUCCAAAAAUAGCUUAUCACAGUAAAAACAGUCUAAAAAGGGUUGCUUGUACCAAACAGCUGAGUUGGUGUAGGUUGUCAAUGGCUCGAACAAAUGUUAUUUAUCAUGGAUGACUACUACUUUGACACUAACUAGUUAAACUUACUAACCAGCUAGCUAACUUCAUAGGCAACUUUACGUAGCCUAGACAUUGCUAGUUAACGUUCAUUACUACAGCAUGUCUCGCUGCACUUUGACUCACAGCUAGACAUUUAACGUUAAUGUGCACGCGAAAUUGCAUUAUUGCUGUCAAGUACCGUAGGAGCCUUGUUGGCUUUGUAAAGCUACAAAUGUUAUAACUAAAGUCGUUGGCAAGGUAAUUACGUAGCUAUCCUAGCUUAGCAUAUAGUAAUGAUAUGACUGUUUAGCAAUAUGACAUUUCCACAUUUUGGAAGCCAUAUUUCUCGCAGCAUAACUACCACUGAGGCUUGCAAUUCGUUUAUAUUAUUUUGACGGAAUGACAAUACCGCGUCGACGAGGCUGUUAUAAAUAGUUUCUUAAUUCCUGUCAGGUGUUUUUUUCACGUUCGAGUGCUUUCAUGAGGCGGAAAGGGAUUAGCUAGCUAGCGCGUUAGGUUGCUACUUUUGCUGUCUGAUACUAUCAAGUAGCGAAAAGCUUCUUUCACUCUAAUUUACGUAAUAACAUAAGCAACUGCUUAAUUCAUAAUCGGCAAUUCAGUACCAUUGCAAAACGAGUCAUUCAUAAACAACUAACCGCAAAUUUGGUUUUGGAAUAGUCUUACCUGAAGGAGCCAUCUUGAAUGCUCUUCAUCAGAAGUAGAAUCUCUUGGAAAGCGGAACACCUCCGUGAUGCGCGCUCCCUAUUGGUCAAUUCUCACAUGUACACUCGCUCAUUGGAUAACAUAAUAUAACAAUGGGGCGGGUGUUACAAGUAAACAUGAUAAAAAAAAGUUAACAUUCUACAAACUUAUGUUACAGUAAACUACAGACAAACGACGUGGAUAUGAUUCAGUUGACCUAUUAAAUAUCCGGGCGGAACAUUGUUACAUCUGAAUCUACCAUAUUAAAUGGCACAUCCAUAACUAUUAAUUUUAAAUAGCUACAUGCAAUAAAUGGUGGUUGGGCCUCAUUCUGUGAUAAAGCAAAUGUACAGCAUGUAUGAUCCUGAUUUGUUUUGCAGUAAAGUGGUUUGUAUCAUAUGAGCAAGUAAAAACAAGAUUAAAAACUG